Molecule: ribosomal RNA, 105 nt
Filed under: Angophora hispida
Lineage: Eukaryota; Viridiplantae; Streptophyta; Magnoliopsida; Myrtales; Myrtaceae
Description: partial 18S ribosomal RNA
Source: RNAcentral
CGGAGCUCGCCGUCCCCAUUGAGUUUUAUACCGGUUCUCUGGUCGUUCUGCUGGGCAGGAUUCGACAAUGAUCCUUCCGUAGGUGAACCUGCGGAAGGAUCAUUG